UACGUAGGGGGCAAGCGUUGUCCGGAUUUAUUGGGCGUAAAGAGCUCGUAGGUGGUUCGGUAAGUCGGAUGUGAAAUCUCCAGGCUCAACCUGGAGGGGUCAUUCGAUACUGCCGUGACUAGAGGUCGGUAGGGGAGUGUGGAAUUCCUGGUGGAGCGGUGAAAUGCGCAGAUAUCAGGAGGAACACCCGUAGCGAAGGCGGCACUCUGGGCCGAUACUGACACUGAGGAGCGAAAGUGUGGGGAGCGAACAGG
RNAcentral lists this ribosomal RNA (254 nucleotides) under uncultured bacterium. RNAcentral's name for it is "partial 16S ribosomal RNA". It matches the Rfam family "Bacterial small subunit ribosomal RNA", at positions 524 to 776 of the family's 1533-position model. The record is from RNAcentral.